Megalopta genalis is the source of this 4869-nucleotide non-coding RNA. The record is from RefSeq and is a predicted model, not a curated record. Lineage: Eukaryota; Metazoa; Arthropoda; Insecta; Hymenoptera; Halictidae.
CCAGUUCUGGUUUAUGGAACGUAUUCCAUAAUUUGCUUGUUAUAAAAAGGUCUUGCCUUUUCACAACACCUUCAGCUAUCUUGGCUUUAAGGGCAACACCGACUUCCUUCUCGUUUCCAUAUACAUGAGCACAAUCAAUAUGACGAUAUCCCAAGUCAAUAGCAUCCUUAACAGCUUGUGUAACCUCGCCAGGUUUAGACUGUGAAAAUAUGAAUUAAUACUGAUUAUCUCCAGCUGUAAUCAUAUUAUAUAAUUUAUUCUAUAUAUCAUAUCAUUUUUAUCACUUUUUACACUGUUUAUCUCUUAUUUUUCACUUUUAUCAAUCUGAAGUUUAGAUGGUAAACUGAUCAGUAAGAAAUCAUUGACACUUAUAUGGAAUCAGAAUAAAAAAUAUUGUUGAUUAUUAAUUUAACAGGUGUUAAGUGUAUAAAUUUUAACAUUUAAAACGUUAGUAUAUCAUAUGGAUACAAAGGCUACCAAAACAAAUGAUAAAGGAAAGGCUGUGACACUGAAGUGACCUUGCCUAAGAAAUGAUUAGAGGAAGUUUAGAUUCUGUUAUCAAAUGCUGGCAAAUCCAAGAACAAAUUAAAAAUCACAUUGCGGCUUUAGGUACAAAAAUACUUGAUUGUAACCCGGUAUUAAAAAUGCCAAAUUAUAAACGAAAUGAAUUCAUUGAUCCAACUGUUAUAAUUAAAGGAACAUGUAUGCAGAUUGCACAAGCUUAUAUCCUUUUCAAUUUUGUUCACACAAAGGUAAAAAAAGGAAUAUUUACUACAAUCAUUCACUUACUUUCCAGGUGCCCAGACCGAAAGCCGGCACCUCGUUGCCGUUGUAGAACUUCAUCAUUGGUACGUUUAGGGUCAUUUUGACAAUAUGUAAAAUUUUGUUACUGGAAACACAGGAAUAUUUAUACACAACCGUGACACUUCACGAUUUUCGACACACCGACAAUUGCUAGAUCUCGGAGUAUAAUGCCAACAGAUUCACCUAGAGUGUCCCUUUUAUAAAUGUCCCAUCCGGGAACAUAAUCCCUGCUCCUGCCCCUCGAAUCUCAGGCCCGUAUAUCAAAGAAUGAAACGAGAUCUCCCAAAAUUCGUUUAUCAUCACGCGUACAUGAACGCAAAUGAACGCUCUGAAAAAUAGCAAACUUCGUUCAUUAGCAACAGCAUUCAUAGCCCAACAAAUCAUCUUGAGUAAUUCUAUAAUCUAAUAACUUUCUCUAAAGUUAUUAUACUUAUGUAAAUCGUGAAGCUUCUUCGUUUUUAUAAUAGGCUUCUCUGAUAGCUAAUCCAUUGCUUAUUGUUGGAACAGAAGUUUCUCAUUUUUGAUAAAAAUUUGCACUAAUUCAAUCAUUCAAAAGUUAUCUUCCUUGCUUUUAAUUUAAAUUAAUAAUAUCUUGAAUAUUUAUAUACGCUAUCAUUGGUUUACCGAAGAUAACGUUAUCGAGAGUGAUGAACGACGAUGUCAAAGAUGGAAACAUUUUCAAGGAAGUUUUUGUGAUGACACAAUUAAAUAAUGUUCAAAUCUUUUAGCUACACAUAUUGCAAAUUCAUUGAAAAAUGUUCGCGAAUAAAUAGGCCCUUUAACCUAGCAAGAAGGGUACGGCCCUGGAAUUAUUUUGCGUCUGCGCGAAUACAAAGAUAGUGUUUUCGUGAUGUGCGAUCUUGCAUAAGAACUUCUAUGCUUCUAAUACAACUAUAUUUCUGUGUAGCGGACUCAAGUAAAUUCGCUGCAGAAAGAAACAAGCCCUAUGGAAAGUUACAGAGUUCGUUAGUAGGCAAGGGACUCCCGAAUCCCUUGAUUGUUGACGAUGAAUGGACCACUAUAUGGGCCGAGAAUAACAAUGCUUCCUCCGUCGCGGAAUGGAACAGGAGGCGAAAGGAAUCUAGGAUCUACCAGAUCAAAAAAAGAUUGACAACAUUUAUUAUGAAAGUAUAUUUCGUUUAAUUAUCUAUCUAGGAUUAUCAGAAGUUGACAAAGUUAGACGAGAGUGCGCGUAAUAGUGACCUUCUGUUUUGCUUCACUCCGUUAAUUGUGUUUCCGCUACCGCGUUUCAGUCAAUUGCGGAACGUGAUAUUACGACCGGUUCGAAGAAUGCAAGUUUCCGUACAUAGCUUCCAUUGCGCAUUACAAUAUCGAUUGGUUCUUCGUCCUCGCUUAAUUAAGCAACGCUAAACGGGUACGUACGAAGUUGUUCCUUGCGUUCCUAAUAUGCAUUAUGUGGAACUCAUUAAGUUAUACUAAAUUUGAUAGACCGUCGAAACAAAUUUUUGUCAAUUACAUGAACGAACAAUUAGCAUAAAUGAACUGGGCACUUUUUUUGUAAAGUUUCCAAAUUCUUUGUAUUUUUUGGUGGUAUCGUUUAGUUUGCUAAAUAUACUUUCGCAAAGAGUGUUUAAAUUCACAAUGAACUUUGAAAGUACUUCAUAUAUAUAUUUUAUUACUGUACACUGUACUAUCGAUUCGGUACCAAGAAAUAUUCUAUUUGUUCUGAAAAAAUACUCUCGAUCGAUGGCAGUUUCUACCGCAUUGUGUACGAUCGAUGUAAUUUAUGGCAAUUUGGUACAGCACGUUUAUGUGUCAAACGCGUUACGUUCAGCUUGGGUAGCAUUCAAAACAUGGCAUCAAAAUUUUCCAUGGCACUCAAUAAACUUAAUUGAUUAGAUGAGGGUCAAACGGGUGCCGAAUUACAGCGUGAGAUUAUAUAAGUUCAAAGUGGACAUGCUCCACCAUUAAUUUUGUGCUGGUUCUGACAGGCAGUUUCCUGCUGGAACAGCGGAUCUUUGGUAUAGAUCGGUUACUUCUCAAAAGGAUAGUACUUAUGGGCCUUGGCACUGAAAAACAAUGUGAAAAUGUCAAACAGUGUCCAUACAAAAUUCACAUACAUCAGAUACUUACUCAGCAAAACGCGCCACGCGUUGCCCAUUCCCUAUGAUCGCGAUGGCGGCUAUUUCCUCGUCCGUUAAAGAAAAAUCGAAAAUAUCCAUAUUCUCCUUUAGGCGACUGGGUGUCACCGUUUUCGGAAUAAUCGCGACACCUUGUUGCAUCUGGAACGAUUAAUUAAUUAUGUUUAGAGCCGCGGGACAAAACAGGAAACCCAAUUCAUACAUCAAUAACCUGAUUUUGAUUCUUGAACAUAAUCACUUUAUGGUUUCGAUCGACCAAACUAGCUGCUUAUCUUUCCACAAUUUUACGAUACUACAAGUGUUAUCACUCAUGUUCAACCAAAGUGUUUCAUGUAAUCAAGUGAACCGAUUGCCCAGUGUUUGGAGCAAGGUCAUUCCUAAAUAUACCUACCAAUCCAAGAGGGAACACUUUACAUAAUUACUCACCACGUAUCGUAGUGCGAUUUGCGCUACCGUUUUGUUGUACUUCUGCGAGAGCUCCACUAUCUUUGGGUGGUCCAAAUUGUUUGGAAUUCCAGCUUUAUUUCCAGGCUGACCUAAUGGCGAAUAUGCGGUCACCGUAAUGUUAUUUUUCGUACAGAACUCGAUCAACGGUUUUUGAUUCACGUUUACGUUGGCUUCAACCUACAGUUAUCCUACAUUAUUAUCGAACACAAAAAAAUCAUUUUAAAUCAAGCAACCGAUAAAUUACCUGGUUGUUCACAGGCUUUACUUUAGUUGCGCCAAGCAAUCGAGUUAGUUGUUCGAUGUUGAAAUUGCUAACACCUAUGCUUUUCGUGAGCCCUAAGUUCAGGCAUUCUUCCAUUCCCUUCCAGGUUUCUAAGUAAUCGGUGUCUGACAUUAUAAGAACACCAUUUGUGUCGCGGGGCAUUAAAUCGUCGCCGUCCUGAUGAAUAAUUACCAUUGGUCACUUGCAUGCAUAAGUAAUUGAAAUAAAAUUAACUGCUAAGGCUUACACGGAAUGCAAAUGGCCAGUGAACUAAAUAUAGAUCGACAUAACUCAAUCCAAGGUACUCCAAAGAUUGUUUACAUGCUGGUACCACGCUUUCUUGCUUAUGAAAGUUGUUCCAAAUCUGUAAAUAUCAGUUUAUUCAUUAUAUGACGUAUCAACAAAGUAUAUUUAAUAUGAACUUAUGUAAGUAUUAUUAAUAAAAAGUGAACAUUGCACAAGUACACACAGUAAAAGUACGAAUAAUAAUAUUACCUUGGUUGUGAUGAACAAAUCCUCUCGCUUCACAGUGCCGUCUUUAAUUUUCGUUUGAAUCGCGUUGCCAAUUUCAUGUUCAUUUUGGUAGAAAAAUGCAGUGUCAAUAUGCCGGUAACCUAUCGAUAUCGCCUCUAUUACGGCUCUUUCCACAUCCCCGGCAUGAGACUAACAGAUAUGUAAAUCGUUUAAUUGCAGAAUACGAGAUAUCACGUGACAUAAGAUCGUGUUGUAUAUGAUUGAUUGUACUGUUGUAUGUGACAUCACAUACUGGCAUUAAAACCAAUUUUCGGAAUAGCGGUUACGUUAUGACAUAAUGGAAACAAAUACCGGUAUAACACCAAAAUCUUAAAAUAUUUCAGUCUCUGGUUCUAUGUACAUGUGUAUGGAUGUUUGAAUAUUUUCGUACCUGAUACGUGCCCAAACCAAGAACUGGCAUUUUCUGACCAUUGUGAAACGUGAGAUUGGAUAUUUGCGCCAUUACCGAGAAAAAUGAUUAAGGAUUCACAGCAGUCAGAAGAGUUACGCUUUACACACUCACACCACGGGUUUACACCGCGCAAUGACUAACUCAUCCACUUCGUUCCCAGCUUAGACUAGAAUUAUAUAAUAUGUACAUAGACAGAAUAUUGCGUAUAACGUUGUUUAACCAUGAUUAGACAAACCAAUGUUACACAAUACUAUCUUAUCGCUACGAACGUUAUUAGAAAUCAUAUAUUAAUACAGUUGCGGAUGCAUAAAUAAAUAACAUGAACUACA